GACGAACGCUGGCGGCGUGCUUAACACAUGCAAGUCGAACGGAAAGGCCCUGCUUUUGUGGGGUGCUCGAGUGGCGAACGGGUGAGUAACACGUGAGUAACCUGCCCUUGACUUUGGGAUAACUUCAGGAAACUGGGGCUAAUACCGGAUAGGAGCUCCUGCUGCAUGGUGGGGGUUGGAAAGUUUCGGCGGUUGGGGAUGGACUCGCGGCUUAUCAGCUUGUUGGUGGGGUAGUGGCUUACCAAGGCUUUGACGGGUAGCCGGCCUGAGAGGGUGACCGGCCACAUUGGGACUGAGGUAAGGCCCAGACUCCUACGGGAGGCAGCAGUGGGGAAUAUUGCACAAUGGGCGGAAGCCUGAUGCAGAAACGCCGCGUGCGGGAUGACGGCCUUAGGGUUGUAAACCGUUUUCGCCUGUGACGAAGCGUGAGUGACGGUAAUGGGUAAAGAAGCACCGGCUAACUACGUG
Molecule: ribosomal RNA, 468 nt
Filed under: uncultured bacterium
Lineage: Bacteria
Description: partial 16S ribosomal RNA
Rfam family: Bacterial small subunit ribosomal RNA
Source: RNAcentral